This 506-nucleotide ribosomal RNA is filed under the name uncultured bacterium. RNAcentral's name for it is "partial 16S ribosomal RNA". It matches the Rfam family "Bacterial small subunit ribosomal RNA", at positions 28 to 523 of the family's 1533-position model. The record is from RNAcentral.
GAUGAACGCUAGCUACAGGCUUAACACAUGCAAGUCGAGGGGUAACGAGAGGAAAGCUUGCUUUCCUUGUCGACGACCGGCGCACGGGUGAGUAACGCGUAUCCAACCUGCCCCCAACUAAGGAAUAACCUUGCGAAAGUAAGACUAAUACCUUAUAAUUUCCUCAGAUGUCAUCUGACGAGGAAUAAAGAUUUAUCGGUUGUGGAUGGGGAUGCGUCUGAUUAGCUUGUUGGCGGGGUAACGGCCCACCAAGGAAACGAUCAGUAGGGGUUCUGAGAGGAAGGUCCCCCACAUUGGAACUGGGACGCGGGCCAAACUCCUACGGGAGGCAGCAGUGAGGAAUAUUGGUCAAUGGGCGAAAGCCUGAACCAGCCAAGUAGCGUGCAGGAUGACGGCCCUAUGGGUUGUAAACUGCUUUUAUACAGGAAUAAAGUUAGCCACGUGUGGUUAUUUGUAGGUACUGUAUGAAUAAGGACCGGCUAAUUCCGUGCCAGCCGCCGCAGUAA